Molecule: long non-coding RNA, 8188 nt
Organism: Lagopus muta (rock ptarmigan)
Lineage: Eukaryota; Metazoa; Chordata; Aves; Galliformes; Phasianidae
Exons: 3
Source: RefSeq, a predicted model, not a curated record
GUGUCUCCAUGAGAAUGAGAAAAACACAGGGAGCACCGGACUGGACGGAUGAGCCCCUGUUCCCACUGCUGUCUCCUGAUCAGUGAGAGCAGCGUUGCAAAGCUAAUCCCCACACUGUGCUACACCUGGCAAGAAAGAGACAGCUAUCAGCUGGACACAGCAGCAAGAGCUGAAAUGUGGUGGAAAAGAUACCUCAAAUAUUCCCUUUUUUUGUAUUCCUUUUAGUUGGAUGACUUUUCAUGCCUUUUGCUAGAAUACACUGGUCUGCAAGGUGCUGUCAAGAAAUUGGCCACUAUAAUGAUAUAUGAUAUAAUGGUGAGCUCCCAGCCCCAGGGCAGCAGUGAUUCUUAAGGUUCCAAAACACAUUGUGUCCAGAGUGUGAGUUCUCCAUGUAGCUGAGCCCCAGUGUAAACCAAAGGGCGCUUUUCAAACUGGUGAUGGAAUUCUUAAUUAUGCAGCAUCAAAUGCAGCAGUUCUAAGGAGAAGCAAAUUCUCUCACAAAUUAUGCACAUACAUCAAAACCACCCUCUGUUCCAGAGACAAAUGCCCAAUCAAUCCGAUCUGUUUUGCCAUCUACAGCAGACGCUACAUCAGGCUGUUUGAUUGGUUUUAAUUCGUCUUUCCUCACUGUACUCAGUCAACUUGUGGUUAUCCAGACUAUGGGCAGGGAGCAGGACAAUCUCAAAUGAAGUGGAGCACCGUUGAACAAAGCCACAACAAACUAAUCAGAUAGUUAAAGUAAAUAUUUUUCUGCAUUAGUCUUAGUAAAAACUGGAGCUACGAGGUAGGAAAAGGUCAAAGACAGGAAUGAAAACGUUUUAUUUAUGGUGUAGCACAGUUCAUUUGCAUCUGGAUAGUCUGCCCAUGCAUAACGAAAUGCAGAUGGUGUCUGUAUUGCGAGCUAGGUGAGAUUCAGGGGAAAAGCAAAGCUGAUUUUGUCUCAGUGUUUGCGAGGAUUCCCCUGCAUUUGCAGGUGAUGGAUUCAGAGGGAGCUGUAAUUUACAGCCCUGUCUCCUGGGCAGCCCUUCAGGAGGAAGGAGAACAAGCAUCUAGCCUCGGCUCAUGGCAAAACUUGCUUCCAAAACAUGAGAGGCAGAGCCACAGAGGGGAUUCUCAGCAGAACCAGCUGUGAGAGGAGGAUCAGUUGCAAAGCUUAAAGCAAAGCCACAGCCGUCUGAGUUCAGAUGGUGCCCGGCUUACAGGACACAGCAAAGGCAGUGCUCCCAUCACAGUACUGGGGCUCCUCCAGUGCUCUGUGCACACUGAGGAGAGAGAUAAUGGCUGAAAGAAAUUCUGUGUCUUCAAUAAUCUUUACAGAGAUCUGAUUCUCUAUUACGUUGCUCUGAGUUAUGUGAUGCACAGAAGAAAGAUUGGGUUCCCUCACUCUUCUAUGCCUCCAAACCCAGCUGAAAUGGUUUGCUUUUUUUUUUACCCUCUUUGCUUAAUGGAAAAGGUGCUUAACAGUAGUUUCAAGAUUAGGAAGGAAAUAAGUAUUUAAAAAAGAAACGUAUUCCUCUUGGGUCACUACUAAAAGCUGUUUCAUUAUUGCCUAAAACCAAUGGAAAGAAAGCCAGCAUGUCCUCAGACUCCUAAUACAGCAUCGGAUCUAAUUGAAUCUUUUGCAUCUAUUUUUAAUGAGCAGCUCGUUUGUUUAAUGUGAUGGCUACAUGGUUAUGAGUUUGUUCCCUACUUAGGACAUACAGCUUCUAAAGCAGUGAUAUUUAAUUUUUAUCUCUCAAGGAAUUAUGCGAAACAAGCUGCCGAGAUUGAAAAAAACAAUGAUUUAUUCCUGGUCAAACAGAUUGCAGAGCAGCACAGGCCCUGUCUACCUUGGUGAUGUUCCCAUUGCUGCAGUGUGAAGCCCUCAGGAGCUCACUGACUGCUUCAGCACUGCGUCCUGCCUGCUCCACUCCUGGGCUGUGGCAGUGACGAGCAGAGUGGCUGGGGAACAGCAUCACACUGUUGAUGUGAAUUACUGGAGAAUUACCAUUAUUUCCAGCACAGCUACAGUGUAAUCCCCACAAAUAACUGUACAGCUGAUUCACAUAAACCCUGUUAUUGUCCUUCAGAUGUUUUCUGGCUGUGGUUGUGAGGAGUUCUGUAGGUGUGCAUUAACAAAAUUAAAGCUUUAUAGUUUAGCCAAAGUCAGAAAUCCCACUGAUAACCACUGAUCCAACCCUUGCUGGUUUAUUCACAAGACAGAUUCCAUUUAAGAGAAAGCACAAAUGGGUAAGAAGCCUUUAGCCACUGAAAUUCCAGGGGAUGCACAGGGCUUCAGCCUUCCCAUGGGCUGAGUGGGGCAGGAUCCUGAGGGACAUCCAGAAUGCUCAUACAGGAGAACAGAGACCGCACCAAGCUAGAUGGAUUUCUGUGUAACUGUCCAGUGGGAAAAAGGAACAACAAAAGCCACUUCUACUGUCCUCAUGAUUUGCUCCAGUGAAUGAUGCUGAAAAGGAGUUAUCUGGUUUUCAAGGUGCAUGUUCUGUCCUUCCACCUACCUACCAGUAAGGCACAACAGGGUAACUCAGCCCAAAACUCUGGCUUGGACUGGAGGUAAAACAUCACACUCUGUUGCUUGAAUAACCCACAGUGAAGAUUAGAGAAAUGAACUAUAAAACUGUUUCAGCUUGUCCUCAACGGAGAGGAAAGUAAUGAAAAUAUCAUGAAAGACAAAUGGUAAAGUUAGUUUAAAACUGAUUUAAUGAAAAUAACAGAGGAUGAGUGUUCGUUGCGCACUACUGAUUUAUAUUUUCUAUAUUUCAGCCUUCAUAACCAAAUUCUGUCUCGUUAGCCAUUAGAAGUUUAAUACAGGGUUAUGCAUUCUAUCACAAUCCAAGCAGCUUUCAAUACUUUGAAGGAGCACAGCGCUGCAUUUUGAAAGAUUAGCAAGGGCGUCCUUGGCUGGAUUCUUGCAUAUUAAAAUGUGAUCUUCAAACCCAAGUUUUUCUUGUGGGAUGAGGGGAUGGGGAAUAAUUCAAACCCUCUCUCCCUUUUUUUCUUUCAUUGAACUUGGCUUGACGUAAAACUACGCCAAACUUGGAACAAAAGGGAUAACGGUUUACAAAGAAUUAGCUGUGAAAUGAGUGGAUCUUGUGAAGAUGAAACUUUCCAAAAUUAGCUGAGGUUGUUUUUUUUGUUUUUUUUUCUUUUGUUAAUUCUAUAUUCUUUGUCUUUCAGCUGCUUGCGGAUUCUAGAAAGAACGAGAUAAUUUUUCCCACUUCUUCCUCUCAAUGUUUUCCAUCGCAUAAAUAAUACAUAGCAAUAGCAAUAUUGGUUUUAUUUGAAGGAAAAAAAAAGAAAGAAAUGGAAUCUGCCUUGAAGACAGAGCCAGGCUGGAGGUGGCCAGAAUGAGGAUGAGGGUGAUGCACCACAACGAAGGCCUCAUGUUCCAUAGUGAGAACCACAAAGCGGCCACACCAUCCUCGGCCAGACGUGCUGGAGGAACACCAGUUAAGAAAUACACGUGGAUGCACAACCUUUUAGGUGAGCAAAAAUAAGCAGAAGUCCUUUGUAAAACAGGAGGUGUAACACAAACACAGCCCUGAGCUGCCCUGAAUGUCUUUGCAGUGACUCAGCACCGAAACUGAGCCUUUCGGACCAGAUAGCUCAGUCUCCUGUGACUCAUCCCCAAAACAACAGUGAGGCUGCCAGAUGCAAAGGGGCAUUGCGACAAAGGUUCUAGGCAGCACUCAGGAGCCUGAGAGCAAUCCUCCCUCUCUUUAGAGGGAAAGGCAGCAAUUUUAGGUCCCCAAAACUAACGUGGGCUGUAUACGCACCUGGAAAAGUGCGUGACUUUGUUUCUGAGGGGUUGCUGCAAUGGUCAACCAGGGCUAAGUGCAGCUAGCUAGUAAUUUAGAGCACUAGAGCACCUGAUUGCAGUGACAGAGUAUGGAUUCAGAGCCCUGGUGGUUGACAGCAAUGUCCUCAAUCUUUUUAGCUGCAUAAAUAAGUAAACAGACAAUGCUUUCCUCCAAAACUGAAUGGACAUUUUCAACACAUGGUCAAGGAACAGACCCCCUCUCAAAGUUAUUUCCCAUCCACAUGUUCAGGACUCCCAAGUACCACAGGAUCCUGCUCCUCAUGUCUCUGCAUCUUCUCUUCCACUUCUGUUGCCAUAAAGCAGCUGCAAGCACUAAGUGAUGUUCUGCACCACUGGUCUUCUCAUGAGCAAUGUGGAUUUGCCUGUCCUCAGCAACUGGAGAUGUGGUCUGACUUCAGUCAAUUGAUUUUUGAUGAGGAUCGCAGCCACUUACCCAGGCUGGAAUUGGAUGCGCUGGGAGUGUCUUGGUCUGUGAAUGAACAAUUGGACUAACAGUAAGGACACAAAGGCAGCAGAUUCUGGGCUGUUGCAGGUAGCAGGAGCAGUCAAUCACCUGCAUGAAGGGUUUGUGCUACAGUAAAUCCUCCUGUGCUGUGGAGUGAAACCAUGCUGCUCCCAGCCCCAGCAGUAACUUGUUUCCUGAUGAAACUCCACUGGCCUCUGGUUUCCCAUGGGAAACCAUUGCACUGUAGCUCUGUAAUCUGUGAUCAAAAUGAAGGAACGCAACCUUGGCAAAGGGAGUGCUUUGGGAUGUGAACUCCCCCAGUGCCCACUUGCUGUUCUGCACUCUUACUCUGAUGUAUGAGCAUUUAAAAAACAGACUCUUUUUGCUGGUCAGUAGCAGCUCAAAGUCUCAUAGAAUCACAGGAUCGUAGAAUGACUGAGAUUGGAAGGGAUCUUAGAGAUCACCCCUAUCAUGGACAGAGUUGCCAACCACUAGAUCAGGCUGCCCAGGGCCCCAUCCAGAGAUGGGGCAUCCACAACUUCCUUGGGCAGCUUUUUCCAGUGCUUCACCACCUUUAUCGCCAAAAGCUUUUCCUUACACCCAAUCUCAAUCUCCCCUCUUUUAGUUUGAAACCAUUUCUCUUGUCCUAUCACAACAGACCUCGCUAAAGAGUCUGGCCUUCUCUUUCUUACAGCCCCUUUAGGUACUGAAAGGCCACUCUCAGAGGCCUGUCUAGAUCUCUGGGUGGCAUUCUGUCCCUUGACCACAACACACAGCUUGGUGUCACCCACAAACUUGCUGUGAGUGUGCUCAAUCCCACUGCUGAUGUCACUGACAAAGAUGUUAAAAGUAUUUGUCCCAGUAACGACUCCCAGAGGACUCCACUCAUCGCUGAUCUCCACCUGAACACUGAGCCAUUGAGCACUACUGUCUGGGUACCAUCUCACCACCAGUUCCUUGAUCACAGAAUGGUCCAUCCAUGACCAUUAUCCAAGACCUUGGUUCCAUUGCAAAUCCACUGGCAGAGGAGCCCCUCGAACAAAGCACCGCCCAUGCCAUAAGGGUGAUUCCUUUCCUAUGAUGUUUGUGCCAUGCUAGGAGAAGAGUCUGGGCACAGCACACUCCAGAUGAUCAUAGACGUGGAGAAAUUGGCUGCAUCUGUCCUGCUGCCCUGUGAUGGGGUUUUGGCCCCUUUUAACCCCAAACCAGCAUGAUCUCACAAAUGACAAGCAGGGCAGGACAGAUGGGUGCCUUUUCAUAGCCUUCACUAGCACUGUGGGUAGUCCACCCUGGUGGAGGAGGGGCAAACAUACUGCCUACCAUGGCAAAUAGCAGACAAAUAAACACAGGCACUUUUCAGGCUCUGAUGAGUAGGGCUCAUCCUCUCCAGAGAAUAAUCUCCCAGAAAUCGACACAUAACAUCAAAAGACAAAUGAGAAUGAAAAGGCCUCUCAAAUUUAAUAGCCUCCAUGAAUUACACUGCCUUUUGUCUAUAUGAGCUGUCACUCUUUCCAUUAAAGAGUCACUGUAAUCAGUAAUCCAUUUUAAGAUUUAUAGACGUGGAGAUUUAUAGACUUACUGUUCUUAUCUGCUUUUUUUUUUCUUUUCUAUUUUUUUUUUUCCCCCAUGCAUCUCUGUGGACUCCCAAAGGAUGAGAUUCUGUCCUAAAACCCUGCUCUGCAUCUGGAGAAAUAAAAUGGUGCUGGGGUGGAGGCCUCUGAACUGGAGGCCAACAAAAGCAAUAAUGCUGAUAAAGACAGCAGGAAUGAUAAUAUGGAGUUGAGGAAGAACAAGAAAGAAAGGAUAAAAGAUGAGCAGGAGAAAAUUAGAAAGAAGAAUCCAGGUUUCACAGAUUCUCACUAUAUAAGUUCCACGAGUCCUUGAAAGAAAGGAAAUAAUUAGGUUAUUUUACCUAUUCGUUCAUUUUUAUCUUGAAACAAGAACCCUGUAUCCUUGAAGUGAACAUAUUCAGAUCCAGCAUUCACGUACAAGAAGGCCACUUUACUCUGCUCACAAUAAAGAAUGUACUCAGGUGGGAGUAUGCUGACAUUACAAAGUCUCUUCAAACAGCCGAAGGAAUUUCGGUAUAAAUGAGCCUCAAGCCACCUGCUUUGCAUAUUUUUAUCUGAUUCUGGUGCAGUUGAACAGUUUGCUCUGAUAGUAAUUGAAUAUCCUUAUGUGGAUUAAUACCUCCAGCACAGAAGAAUUUGAAUAUGUUCGUGCUGCUUGAAACCAGUCUGCAUGUGCAACCUGAUUCUGGGUAAAAUUGCAAAUGCUUACGUGACUUAGAAAUCAGAGCACUAUUCAAAAGCUUCUAACUCAUUCUGAGUCCAGUUUUGGCAAGUCUGUGUGAGCAACAGAUUUACUUACCCUCUAGAUAUCACACUGACAGCAGGUAAUAUUUGAGACAACUCUGUCAAAGUAGCAUUGUACGAAAUUCCUUAGGUAACCUCGAACGCUCCUGCUACGUAUUGCUUGGUAUUUUUGUACCUGCUUGUCUCUAAGGAGAACUAGGACAAAGCCUCUUCUGAGUCUUGUUCCCGUGCUGAAGAAAGCUGCUAUAUUUGGUGAGCUAUGGAAGAAAAUGCUUUGGUACAAAUGGGUAUGGUGUAGCACAAUGGAAAUCUAUACGCAACAUUGUCUCUGUGUAUCAAAUAUAAGGCUCUCUUCAGAAAUGCAGAUUUUCUUACAGAACAGAGAACUGUAGGGACUGGCUGUGUAAUGCAUUCUAAUUAGCCAUUCACAUCGUAUUGGAAACUGUCUGUGCCAAUCCUUCACAACAGGCACAUGUGAUGGCUGUCAAAAUAAUUAUUGGCACAAACUUCUAUUUUCCAGUUUGAGACAGUGAGAAACUUCAGUGGUGGAUUAAUUUUUCUGUGCUCUUGGGAAAAGCAGAAGAGCACUGAGACUCAUUUUAAAUUGAUCCUACUCAAGCUGUUCAGUAGAUAGGGUUAUGACCUGUGAAUUCAAGGGCUGCUUUCCUGUGCUCUCUUGUAUUACGCAGGAAGGAAACCACGAAUUCAAAUGUUAGAGUCUCCUCCUUGAACAGUUUCCCAAAUAAGUGCCCUGGGUUCAUUGCCUUUGAUAAUCCUUUGGCUGGAUGUCAUUAAUGAGUCUGUAUUUUUCUCCCAGCAGCAUUGCCCUCCUGCGAAAUAAUUUCCAUAAUCUCAGAAUCUUAGGAUCAUAGAAUCAUUAAUUCUAUGUUGGAAUUAAUGGUUGGAAAUGACCAUUAAUGGUCUUCCAAUGGUUGGAAAAGACCUCUAACGUCCAACCUCCUUCCUACUACCAAUACUGCCCACUAGGCCAAGACCCUCAGUGCCACGUCUACUCUUUCCUUUAACACAUUCCUCUACCUCCCUGGGCAGCCUGUGCUAAUGCAUCACCGCUCUUACUGAGAAGAAAUUCUUCCUAAUAUCCAACCGUUACCACAUUUUGAGCAUCCAGAGGAUGUUUGUGUUGUUUUGUGGCGUAAGGACUAAUAGGAAAACAGCGUACAGUUUGCACGUUGGUCCAAUGCCCCUUUUGUGUCAGGAGGGCUGUACGUGGCAGCUGCAUGGCUCUGCAGUGGAAUUGCCAGGUCAGGGCCCAAAUCAAUGGCUGAGCACCAACUGUGACUAACCCAGGGAGCUCAGGUGCAAGCAAUGCAUCUCAGUGAUUGAUACGGCUGGAGCUUAGAUCCACCCCUCCUCUCACUCAUUUAAGGACUAGAAGCUGGGAGAGUGGCAUCUCUUUGUGGCUGUGCUCCUUUUGAGCUAUUGCUGGUCAUUGGAAGGGAUUUUCAGCUGAUCUGCCUGAAGGUGGAGAGCUUAUUGUUCAGGAUGUUAUAGCAGUACCUUGAGGCUAUAAUCAAAUGGUCUUGAACUGUAAGAGCCUGCCUGCCUCCUGUAAGGCAGUGCAGCUGACAGCACUGAAGAGCUGAGAGG